UGGGGAAUAUUGCGCAAUGGGCGAAAGCCUGACGCAGCGACGCCGCGUGAGGGACGACGGCCUUCGGGUUGUAAACCUCUUUCAGCAGGGAAGAAGGGAAACUGACGGUACCUGCAGAAGAAGCACCGGCUAACUACGUGCCAGCAGCCGCGGUAAUACGUAGGGUGCAAGCGUUGUCCGGAUUUAUUGGGCGUAAAGAGCUCGUAGGCGGUCUGUCGCGUCGGAUGUGAAACCCCGGGGCUUAACUCCGGGCCUGCAUUCGAUACGGGCAGACUAGAGUGUGGUAGGGGAGACUGGAACUCCUGGUGUAGCGGUGAAAUGCGCAGAUAUCAGGAAGAACACCGGUGGCGAAGGCGGGUCUCUGGGCCACUACUGACGCUGAGGAGCGAAAGCGUGGGGAGCAAACA
Molecule: ribosomal RNA, 407 nt
Filed under: uncultured Actinomycetales bacterium
Lineage: Bacteria; Bacillati; Actinomycetota; Actinomycetes; Actinomycetales
Description: partial 16S ribosomal RNA
Rfam family: Bacterial small subunit ribosomal RNA
Source: RNAcentral